This is a non-coding RNA of Petromyzon marinus (sea lamprey), 656 nucleotides long. The record is from RefSeq and is a predicted model, not a curated record. NCBI's taxonomy places the organism in Eukaryota, Metazoa, Chordata, Hyperoartia, Petromyzontiformes, Petromyzontidae.
AUUUGCCCGAACUGCUCCCAAAAGCAGGAAAGUGGGGGGGGGGAGAGAAGAGUUCAGUGGCAGAAAUGCUUUCUCUCUCUCUCUCUACACCCACCCACCAAGCCACUCACCCUCCACCACCACAACUGCAGAUGCAGGGCCGAAGGGGGCUAAAUUGGGCUUUUGUCAGAACCCGGCGAGAGAAUUGGCGAUCCGGGCGGGGAGUGUUCAACUGGUGGCGGGCAAGAAAAUCGACUCGUAAAAAAAAUGACCGAUGUCUCUGGCACCGGCACGGCGGGCGUUGUUCGGUGUUGGAGUUCGAUCCUAAGGGGCUCGAGAGAUGCGCGUCUGGAUUUUCGUCUCUACGGGGGAGGGGGGGGUUAACAAAAAAAAAGGUGGCAACGCUAAAUCCAAAGGCUUGACUUGUCACACGCACACCGGUGGCUAGGAGAUGUUAACUCCCUCGCCUAGCACGUGGGAGGUUCGUGGGUUCGAUCCCCGAUCCUGACGUUGCCUGUAUUUGCCGAGAUGUUAAUUCCCUCGCCUGGUACGCAGGAGGUCGUUGGGUUUCGAUCCCAGACCCUGAUGACGCCUGUAUUUGGCCAAGAUGUUAAUUCCCUGGCCUACAAAUUCGUCGCGGCGGCUGCAGCAGCUCUUGGGCGAUGGCAAAAAAAAAA